GAUGAAGAACGCAGCAAAAUGCGAUAAGUAAUGUGAAUUGCAGAAUUCAGUGAAUCAUCGAAUCUUUGAACGCACAUUGCGCCCGCUGGUAUUCUGGCGGGCAUGCCUGUUCGAGCGUCAUUACAACCCUCAGGCCCCCGGGCCUGGCGUUGGGGAUCGGCGGAGCCCCCCGUGGGCACACGCCGUCCCCCAAAUACAGUGGCGGUCCCGCCGCAGCUUCCAUCGCGUAGUAGCUAACACCUCGCGACUGGAGAGCGGCGCGGCCACGCCGUAAAACACCCAACUCUUCUGAAGUUGACCUCGAAUCAGGUAGGAAUACCCGCUGAACUUAAGCAUAUCAAUAAGCGGAGGA
RNAcentral lists this unclassified non-coding RNA (352 nucleotides) under soil metagenome. Its description in RNAcentral is "partial contains 5.8S ribosomal RNA, internal transcribed spacer 2, and large subunit ribosomal RNA". The stretch from base 1 to 120 matches the Rfam family "5.8S ribosomal RNA", at positions 35 to 154 of the family's 154-position model. The record is from RNAcentral.